Molecule: unclassified non-coding RNA, 219 nt
Filed under: soil metagenome
Description: partial contains 5.8S ribosomal RNA, internal transcribed spacer 2, and large subunit ribosomal RNA
Source: RNAcentral
AACGAGGCCGACCUGCGGCUGAGUUACCUGCGGAGGGAUCAUUACAAGUGACCCCGGUCUAACCACCGGGAUGUUCAUAACCCUUUGUUGUCCGACUCUGUUGCCUCCGGGGCGACCCUGCCUUCGGGCGGGGGCUCCGGGUGGACACUUCAAACUCUUGCGUAACUUUGCAGUCUGAGUAAACUUAAUUAAUAAAUUAAAACUUUUAACAACGGAUCU